UGUAGCAAAGCUUUAAUUGUACGCUUGUUAACAAUGCCAUAGAUUUGACCAUUGUAUUAACUGAAAGAGGCACGUUAAUUACUUGACCAUAAAUGCCGUAUUGACCAUUCACAUGUCUCAAACGUCUGAUCUGCAUAAAAGGAAUACGAAGCGAAAUUAAUCUUUCAGAAACUAAAUCUAAAGGUGUUAGAUGCUGAGGUACAUCUGAAUAUUUGAAGCCAUUAUAUGUUGAUAUUAAAGGAAUAUUCUCCUUGUUUAAA
Molecule: long non-coding RNA, 260 nt
Filed under: Polistes fuscatus (common paper wasp)
Lineage: Eukaryota; Metazoa; Arthropoda; Insecta; Hymenoptera; Vespidae
Description: uncharacterized LOC122526374
Source: RNAcentral